This 304-nucleotide ribosomal RNA is filed under the name uncultured bacterium. RNAcentral describes it as "bacterial SSU rRNA". It matches the Rfam family "Bacterial small subunit ribosomal RNA", at positions 28 to 334 of the family's 1533-position model. The record is from RNAcentral.
GAUGAACGCUGGCGGCGUGCCUAAUACAUGCAAGUCGAACGCGAGCACUUGUGCUCGAGUGGCGAACGGGUGAGUAAUACAUAAGUAACCUGCCCUAGACAGGGGGAUAACUAUUGGAAACGAUAGCUAAGACCGCAUAGGUACGGACACUGCAUGGUGACCGUAUUAAAAGUGCCUCAAAGCACUGGUAGAGGAUGGACUUAUGGCGCAUUAGCUGGUUGGCGGGGUAACGGCCCACCAAGGCGACGAUGCGUAGCCGACCUGAGAGGGCGGACGGCCACACUGGGACUGAGACACGGCCCAG